Molecule: transfer RNA, 69 nt
Filed under: Loxodonta africana (African savanna elephant)
Lineage: Eukaryota; Metazoa; Chordata; Mammalia; Proboscidea; Elephantidae
Rfam family: tRNA
About the family: Transfer RNA (tRNA) molecules are approximately 80 nucleotides in length. Their secondary structure includes four short double-helical elements and three loops (D, anti-codon, and T loops). Further hydrogen bonds mediate the characteristic L-shaped molecular structure. tRNAs have two regions of fundamental functional importance: the anti-codon, which is responsible for specific mRNA codon recognition, and the 3' end, to which the tRNAs corresponding amino acid is attached (by aminoacyl-tRNA synthetases). tRNAs cope with the degeneracy of the genetic code in two manners: having more than one tRNA (with a specific anti-codon) for a particular amino acid; and 'wobble' base-pairing, i.e. permitting non-standard base-pairing at the 3rd anti-codon position.
Source: Rfam by way of RNAcentral
GGCCUGGUGGCUCAGUGGUUAAGCGUUUGGCUGCUAACUAAAAAGUUGGCAGUUCGAAUCCACCAGCCA